AUUGAACGCUGGCGGCAUGCCUUACACAUGCAAGUCGAACGGCAGCACGGGUGCUUGCACCUGGUGGCGAGUGGCGAACGGGUGAGUAAUAUAUCGGAACGUACCUUAUUGUGGGGGAUAACGCAGCGAAAGCUGUGCUAAUACCGCAUCAUACCUAAGGGGGAAAGCGGGGGACCGUAAGGCCUCGCGCAAUUAGAGCGGCCGAUACCUGAUUAGCUAGUUGGUUAGGUAAAGGCUCACAAAGGCAACGAGAAGUAGCUGGUCUGAGAGGACGAUCAGCCACACUGGGACUGAGACACGGCCCAGACUCCUACGGGAGGCAGCAGUGGGGAAUUUUGGACAAUGGGGGCAACCCUGAUCCAGCAAUGCCGCGUGAGUGAAGAAGGCCUUCGGGUUGUAAAGCUCUUUUGUCAGGGAAGAAACAGCAGCUCUAACACAGUAUGCGAAUGACGGUACCUGAAGAAUAAGCACCGGCUAACUACGUGCCAGCAGCCGCCGUAA
This 501-nucleotide ribosomal RNA is filed under the name uncultured bacterium. Its description in RNAcentral is "partial 16S ribosomal RNA". It matches the Rfam family "Bacterial small subunit ribosomal RNA", at positions 30 to 523 of the family's 1533-position model. The record is from RNAcentral.